UCGAGACGAAUUUUUAAGUUUAGUUAGUUCAUACAAUAAUUAUUAAAUACAAUAAAAGUGUUUAAAUAAAAAAACAGAUCUAAACGGGCCAUACCUAUCCAGUCCUCCUCCUGAUUUGACAUAUGAUUCGUAGGCUUCAGAUCUUCCAUUAUUAAUGCCAGUAUAUACAGUACUCCACCGUACUGUUACGCACAUGUACACGCCACACCCGCACGGUCCCGGCCCUUUGGCUGCACGCAGGCACGCAGGAAUCGUUUAGAGUCUAGUACUCCGUAAGAGAGAUGCUCCAAAAGCUCCUGCAAUAUACCGAAAGAAUCGUCUAGAUAGAUACACCAUCUCAGCCAUUGUAAUUGUAAUCAUGAGACAAUAAUACACCAUCUUGAUUUCUACUCGAGGCCUUGUUUAGUUCUAAAAAAUUGCAAAAAAUUUUUAAUUUCUUUUCACAUCGAAUUAUGUAGCACACCUAUUGAACAAUAAAAAAAGAAAAAAAACUAAAUAUAUAGUUUAUAUAUAAUCUAUG
RNAcentral lists this long non-coding RNA (520 nucleotides) under Sorghum bicolor (sorghum). RNAcentral's name for it is "long non-coding RNA (SBIC_LNC005802)". The record is from RNAcentral. Lineage: Eukaryota; Viridiplantae; Streptophyta; Magnoliopsida; Poales; Poaceae.